This is a long non-coding RNA of Rhipicephalus sanguineus (brown dog tick), 538 nucleotides long. RefSeq lists it as uncharacterized. NCBI's taxonomy places the organism in Eukaryota, Metazoa, Arthropoda, Arachnida, Ixodida, Ixodidae. The record is from RefSeq and is a predicted model, not a curated record. The transcript has 3 exons.
AGCGCGCUUGGCUUUGUCCCGAGGUUAGAACUCGGGCCUUUCAUUUAUUGCACUUGCACAGUAUUUAUGGUGUCACAUCGGUAGAAGCCCUCCUGGCUUUGUCCCGAGGUUAGAACUCGGGCCUUUCAUUUAUUGCACUUAUUUGCACAGUAUUCGUCGUGUCGCAUCGGUAGAAGCCCGCUUGGCUUUGUCCCGAGGUUUGAUUUCGUGGUGGUUAUUUCGACCAUUGCACCUAUAGUUUGUAAAACGUCAUUGUUUUUAGCAUUCGAAGCGCCUCUUUGGCUUUGGCUUCAGAGUGUACUGCAGUGCGGUUGUUUCGUCAUUUCAACGAAAUUGUUAUAAAACAUUUUCUUGUCACUAACAAGGGUUUCAUACAAGUUCUCGGUCCUCUCACGUUUCUGACUGCGUCCGCCAAAAUGCUUUAAGUGGCAGGUCAUGAUGGCUCUGCUUGUGAAGCUCCAACAUUUUUGUGUUCGCCAUCAAGGCGGUUUUGUUUCCGGAGUGAUCGCCACUUUAAUUACUCCUUUGGAAUCUAUUA